RNAcentral lists this transfer RNA (72 nucleotides) under Ictidomys tridecemlineatus (thirteen-lined ground squirrel). Its description in RNAcentral is "Spermophilus tridecemlineatus (thirteen-lined ground squirrel) tRNA". It matches the Rfam family "tRNA". Rfam says of the family: Transfer RNA (tRNA) molecules are approximately 80 nucleotides in length. RNAcentral also lists the same sequence under 1 other name. Lineage: Eukaryota; Metazoa; Chordata; Mammalia; Rodentia; Sciuridae. The record is from Rfam by way of RNAcentral.
GGGGGUGUAGCUCAGUGGUAGAGUGCCUGCCUAGCAUGCUCAAAGCCCUGGGUUUUAUCCUCAGCACCUCCU